UUGAACGCUGGCGGCAGGCCUAACACAUGCCAGUCGAACGGUAACAGGAAGAAGCUUGCUUCUUUGCUGACGAGUGGCGGACGGGUGAGUAAUGUCUGGGAAACUGCCUGAUGGAGGGGGAUAACUACUGGAAACGGUAGCUAAUACCGCAUAACGUCGCAAGACCAAAAAGGGGGACCUUCGGGCCUCUUGCCAUCGGAUGUGCCCAGAUGGGAUUAGCUAGUAGGUGGGGUAACGGCUCACCUAGGCGACGAUCCCUAGCUGGUCUGAGAGGAUGACCAGCCACACUGGAACUGAGACACGGUCCAGACUCCUACGGGAGGCAGCAGUGGGGAAUAUUGCACAAUGGGCGCAAGCCUGAUGCAGCCAUGCCGCGUGUAUGAUGAAGGCCUUCGGGUUGUAAAGUACUUUCAGCGGGGAGGAAGGGAGUAAAGUUAAUACCUUUGCUCAUUGACGUUACCCGCAGAAGAAGCACCGGCUAACUCCGUG
RNAcentral lists this ribosomal RNA (489 nucleotides) under uncultured bacterium. RNAcentral's name for it is "partial 16S ribosomal RNA". It matches the Rfam family "Bacterial small subunit ribosomal RNA", at positions 30 to 507 of the family's 1533-position model. The record is from RNAcentral.